Poeciliopsis prolifica (blackstripe livebearer) is the source of this 326-nucleotide long non-coding RNA. RefSeq lists it as uncharacterized. The record is from RefSeq and is a predicted model, not a curated record. Lineage: Eukaryota; Metazoa; Chordata; Actinopteri; Cyprinodontiformes; Poeciliidae. The transcript has 3 exons.
AUCAGGCUGUUUGGUCUCAGAGGAAGGCUGUGCUUCUCUGGCCUCAGCUCUGACCUCCAACCCCUCCCAUCUGAAAGAGUUGGACCUGAGCUACAAUCAUCCAGGAGACUCAGAAGUGAAGCUGCUGUCGACUGGACUGAAGGAUCCACACUGGAGACUGGAAGCUCUCAGGGUGGAGCCUGCUGGAGGCCGAUUCUUGACUCCAGGUCUGAGGAAAUAUUCCUGUCAACUCACCAUCGACACAACCACAGUGAACAGAAAACUCAAACUGUCUGAAGAUAACAAGAAGGUGACAUAUGAGGAGGAGUUUCAGUCAUAUCCUGAUC